GAGCCCAUCUAGUGUAGAAGCUCGUCCGAAAUCCAUCCACUAUGAAAGUUUAGACGAAGUCCGGAGCGAUCGGCCAUUGUAGAAAUCCAGCUGCUGGAGCUCGUCUGUUGUAGAAGCUCGUCCGGAAUCCAUCCGCUAUGGAAGAUCGGACGGAGUCCAGUUCUUGUAGAAGGCUGAAAGGAGGCCGGUUAUUGUAGAGGCUCGAUCAAAGAUCGAUUGUCGUGGAAGCUCGGAGUAGUGACCUAGUCGGUGG
This 253-nucleotide long non-coding RNA is filed under the name Elaeis guineensis (African oil palm). RNAcentral's name for it is "long non-coding RNA (EGUI_LNC032201)". The record is from RNAcentral. Lineage: Eukaryota; Viridiplantae; Streptophyta; Magnoliopsida; Arecales; Arecaceae.